This 495-nucleotide ribosomal RNA is filed under the name uncultured bacterium. RNAcentral's name for it is "bacterial SSU rRNA". It matches the Rfam family "Bacterial small subunit ribosomal RNA", at positions 791 to 1285 of the family's 1533-position model. The record is from RNAcentral.
UAGUCCACGCUGUAAACGAUGUCUACUAGCCGUUGGUUUCCUUGAGGAAGCAGUGGCGCAGCUAACGCGAUAAGUAGACCGCCUGGGGAGUACGGCCGCAAGGUUAAAACUCAAAUGAAUUGACGGGGGCCCGCACAAGCGGUGGAGCAUGUGGUUUAAUUCGAUGCAACGCGAAGAACCUUACCAGGUCUUGACAUCCUGAAAACUUUCUAGAGAUAGAUUGGUGCCUUCGGGAAUUCAGUGACAGGUGCUGCAUGGCUGUCGUCAGCUCGUGUCGUGAGAUGUUGGGUUAAGUCCCGUAACGAGCGCAACCCUUGUCCUUAGUUGCUAGCAGGUAAUGCUGAGGACUCUAGCGAGACUGCCGGCGUAAGCCGCGAGGAAGGUGGGGACGACGUCAAAGUCAUCAUGGCCUUUAUGCCUAGGGCCACACACGUGCUACAAUGGUGCAUACAGAGGGUAGCGAAGCCGCGAGUGGAGCCAAUCCCAGAAAGUGCA